This 324-nucleotide small RNA is filed under the name Pan troglodytes (chimpanzee). Its description in RNAcentral is "retained intron". The record is from RNAcentral. Lineage: Eukaryota; Metazoa; Chordata; Mammalia; Primates; Hominidae.
GCUGGACGUAAAGAAAGAAGUGAUGCACUCAAUUCUGCAAUAGAUAAAAUGACCAAGAAGACCAGGGACUUGCGUAGACAGCUCCGCAAAGCUGUCAUGGACCACGUUUCAGAUUCUUUCCUGGAAACCAAUGUUCCACUUUUGGUAUUGAUUGAAGCUGCAAAGAAUGGAAAUGAGAAAGAAGUUAAGGAGUAUGCCCAAGUUUUCCGUGAACAUGCCAACAAAUUGAUUGAGGUAAGUGAAUUAGCAGUUUCAUUGACUUGUAGGCAACUUGGUGAAGUGUGGUGAGUUUUAAUCACAUUAUUUAAUCAGUUAAAAUUUGUA